CCUACGGGAGGCAGCAGUGGGGAAUAUUGCGCAAUGGGCGAAAGCCUGACGCAGCGACGCCGCGUGAGGGAUGACGGCCUUCGGGUUGUAAACCUCUUUCAGCAGGGAAGAAGCGAAAGUGACGGUACCUGCAGAAGAAGCACCGGCUAACUACGUGCCAGCAGCCGCGGUAAUACGUAGGGUGCGAGCGUUGUCCGGAAUUAUUGGGCGUAAAGAGCUCGUAGGCGGCCUGUCGCGUCGGAUGUGAAAACUCGGGGCUUAACCCCGAGCCUGCAUUCGAUACGGGCAGGCUAGAGUUCGGCAGGGGAGACUGGAAUUCCUGGUGUAGCGGUGAAAUGCGCAGAUAUCAGGAGGAACACCGGUGGCGAAGGCGGGUCUCUGGGCCGAUACUGACGCUGAGGAGCGAAAGCGUGGGGAGCGAACAGGAUUAGAUACCCUGGUAGUCCACGCCGUAAACGUUGGGAACUAGGUGUGGGCGACAUUCCACGUCGUCCGUGCCGCAGCUAACGCAUUAAGUUCCCCGCCUGGGGAGUACGGCCGCAAGGCUAAAACUCAAAUGAAUUGACGG
RNAcentral lists this ribosomal RNA (568 nucleotides) under uncultured bacterium. RNAcentral's name for it is "bacterial SSU rRNA". It matches the Rfam family "Bacterial small subunit ribosomal RNA", at positions 338 to 916 of the family's 1533-position model. The record is from RNAcentral.